This 1514-nucleotide ribosomal RNA is filed under the name Salmonella enterica. RNAcentral describes it as "partial 23S ribosomal RNA". It matches the Rfam family "Bacterial large subunit ribosomal RNA", at positions 1154 to 2624 of the family's 2925-position model. Lineage: Bacteria; Pseudomonadati; Pseudomonadota; Gammaproteobacteria; Enterobacterales; Enterobacteriaceae. The record is from RNAcentral.
CGUAUCACCCAAGACAACUUUACGGAGUUGACGAUUGACGGAGCGAAGCGACGUCAAAGCGUUCAUUAAAGUCGAGUUGGCUUAGGGAUACGUUCGUUGGGUAGGGGAGCGUUCUGUAAGCCUGUGAAGGUGUGUCGUGAGGCAUGCUGGAGGUAUCAGAAGUGCGAAUGCUGACAUAAGUAACGAUAAAGCGGGUGAAAAGCCCGCUCGCCGGAAGACCAAGGGUUCCUGUCCAACGUUAAUCGGGGCAGGGUGAGUCGACCCCUAAGGCGAGGCCGAAAGGCGUAGUCGAUGGGAAACGGGUUAAUAUUCCCGUACUUGGUGUUACUGCGAAGGGGGGACGGAGAAGGCUAUGUUGGCCGGGCGACGGUUGUCCCGGUUUAAGCGUGUAGGUGUGUGUUCCAGGUAAAUCCGGUUCACUUUAACACUGAGGCGUGACGACGAGGCACUACGGUGCUGAAGCAACAAAUGCCCUGCUUCCAGGAAAAGCCUCUAAGCAUCAGGUAACACGAAAUCGUACCCCAAACCGACACAGGUGGUCAGGUAGAGAAUACCAAGGCGCUUGAGAGAACUCGGGUGAAGGAACUAGGCAAAAUGGUGCCGUAACUUCGGGAGAAGGCACGCUGACACGUAGGUGAAGUGAUUUACUCAUGGAGCUGAAGUCAGUCGAAGAUACCAGCUGGCUGCAACUGUUUAUUAAAAACACAGCACUGUGCAAACACGAAAGUGGACGUAUACGGUGUGACGCCUGCCCGGUGCCGGAAGGUUAAUUGAUGGGGUCAGCGUAAGCGAAGCUCCUGAUCGAAGCCCCGGUAAACGGCGGCCGUAACUAUAACGGUCCUAAGGUAGCGAAAUUCCUUGUCGGGUAAGUUCCGACCUGCACGAAUGGCGUAAUGAUGGCCAGGCUGUCUCCACCCGAGACUCAGUGAAAUUGAACUCGCUGUGAAGAUGCAGUGUACCCGCGGCAAGACGGAAAGACCCCGUGAACCUUUACUAUAGCUUGACACUGAACAUUGAGCCUUGAUGUGUAGGAUAGGUGGGAGGCUUUGAAGUGUGGACGCCAGUCUGCAUGGAGCCGACCUUGAAAUACCACCCUUUAAUGUUUGAUGUUCUAACGUGGACCCGUAAUCCGGGUUGCGGACAGUGUCUGGUGGGUAGUUUGACUGGGGCGGUCUCCUCCUAAAGAGUAACGGAGGAGCACGAAGGUUGGCUAAUCCUGGUCGGACAUCAGGAGGUUAGUGCAAUGGCAUAAGCCAGCUUGACUGCGAGCGUGACGGCGCGAGCAGGUGCGAAAGCAGGUCAUAGUGAUCCGGUGGUUCUGAAUGGAAGGGCCAUCGCUCAACGGAUAAAAGGUACUCCGGGGAUAACAGGCUGAUACCGCCCAAGAGUUCAUAUCGACGGCGGUGUUUGGCACCUCGAUGUCGGCUCAUCACAUCCUGGGGCUGAAGUAGGUCCCAAGGGUAUGGCUGUUCGCCAUUUAAAGUGGUACGCGAGCUGGGUUUAGAACGUCGUGA